GGUGGGGUGGCCGAGUGGCUAGGCAGCGGCCUGCAAAGCCGUGCACGCGGGUUCGAAUCCCGUCCCCACCUCCA
This 74-nucleotide transfer RNA is filed under the name Arthrobacter frigidicola. RNAcentral describes it as "Arthrobacter sp. MDT2-14 tRNA-Cys". It matches the Rfam family "tRNA". Rfam says of the family: Transfer RNA (tRNA) molecules are approximately 80 nucleotides in length. Their secondary structure includes four short double-helical elements and three loops (D, anti-codon, and T loops). RNAcentral also lists the same sequence under 6 other names. Lineage: Bacteria; Bacillati; Actinomycetota; Actinomycetes; Micrococcales; Micrococcaceae. The record is from RNAcentral.